This is a long non-coding RNA of Solanum tuberosum (potato), 2528 nucleotides long. RefSeq lists it as uncharacterized. The transcript has 2 exons. NCBI's taxonomy places the organism in Eukaryota, Viridiplantae, Streptophyta, Magnoliopsida, Solanales, Solanaceae. The record is from RefSeq and is a predicted model, not a curated record.
CAUCUAAACCUUGUUCUUAGCUCUCACUUUAAUUCAAAUAAUUCCUUUGUAACUGAUGCCCCAUAGUAUAUUUCUCUCUUCUUCUCUCUCUCUUUUUUAUCCUUCCAUAAGGGUUUUCACCUUUUCGACUCUCUGGGUGAUUCAAAUUCACAAUUUUAGAGGUUUAGAGGUGAUGCAACGACAAAGCUAAUAGCCUGCAUGAGGGUUCAGUCAAAUUCAGUAGAAUUUUCUCAAAUAGUAUAUUUAUGUUGAUAAAUUCAUUAAAUAAAUAUAAGUAAAUUUUUUGAAUAGUUACAAUCACUUAAAAUCAUAAUUGUAAAAUUUAAAAUCUAUAAAGUUGAAAUUCUAACUUCGCGCCGUUGAGGUGAUGAGCAUGCUUAGCAUCUGAGUAAUCUCUCUUGUUGAUUCUUACUCGUUUAUUGAUUUUUAUUUAGCAUAAAUUCUAGGGUUUAAUUAAUAUUUUUUUGAUUUUUAUUGUUAUGAAGGAUGGAUUAUGAAUUAGCAGAGCUAACAUGGGAAAACGGACAGGUAGUGAUGCAUGGCUUAGGUCCUCCACGCGUGCCUAAUAAGCCUUUAUCGACUCCUUCUCCAACAAAAUACGCGUGUGACAAUAAACCAUAUGCUGCUGCAGGUGGCACACUUGAAUCCAUAGUGAACCAAGCUCAUCACCAGAAUUCCCCCGUGGACGGGGGUGGAGAUAGAGAGGAUGAUGAUUUCGUGAGUUGAUUUGAUGAUUGUCUUCCUGAAACUCAGACAACUACGGCCAUAGAUACUAUUGCCGUAGAUGCCUUAGUUCCAACAAGUUCCACUAACACGCCAAACUAUAAUCAGUGGCCCCAUCCACGCACGUGUCCGGGACGGGGAUGACCAACAAAUGUUUAGUUGACUGCUCCACACGUGUUGCAUCAUGCAGUGGUGAUGCGGAGAUGGCAGGUGUGGGAAUAGGAUCUAGCUUUGAGGAGAUUUCGAAAGACUUUGGGAUUACCGAGUCUUUCGGGAAUGAAGAGGUUAAGAACUUGAUCGAAUCAAUGGUAUACGAGGGACAACAUAACUAUAUGGCUGACCAGACCGUGAGUCGGGGAGACACUAUUGAAACGGGAGAGAGAAGUUUGGGUGCGUAAAGAGUACUUACCACAACAUCUACGGAGUCACCUGAGAACACCUUUAAGCAUAAUAAAAAUAAGAUCGUGAAUAAUCAUGAUUUCAUUUCUCAUAGCAGAGCUCAAGUAAGAAUAUGAUUUCCUUUUAUGCAUAGUUACAGUAUACUUCCUAUGAUUCCAUGCGGCACAACAUAAGUUUAUUUAGUAAUGUGAUUUUUCCUUAUAGAACUUAAUUGUUAUUCUAUUAGUAAUGUGAUUUUUCCUUUUUUAAGCAACUUUAUUUUUUAGAAAAUAUUUUUUAAAAUUUUUGACCAAUCAAACAUGAAAAGACAAUAUUUUCAGCCAAAUACUACCCUAGUAUCAUGCUAUUAUUAUUAUUUCACUGCCUUAGUAUCAUGUUAUUGUUUCACUACCAUAGUUUCAAGUUAUUGUUUUGGUAUAACCUUUUGUUAUUCGAAGUCCACUCCUACUAAUUCAAUUUUUUUCAGACCAAGUAAAAGGGAAAAUCGCACUGCUCUUAGUCAAAGUUUAAGAGCAAAUUUUUAUUGUUUGACUCUAAAAAGAAAAUCAUAAUAAUUAAAAGUGCACAAGAAAGUAUCAGUUAAUUUGAGUUAACAUGAAGUAAGAAAGAAAGAGAGUUUUGAAACUUAUAGCAACUUAAAAUAAGUGAUAGCAUUGUUUGUGGGAGAAUAGAAUAAUUAUUACUUUUUAAGUAGUUAUUCCUUUUCUUUAGUGAAGUGAUAUUACUAUUUUUUUAAGAUAUAUAUGUCAAAUUGUUGGAUAGUGUAUUAAACUUUGGUGUCAACUCACACAAGGAGUCAAAAGAUAAUGAGGAUGAGGAUGAGAAAAAAGGAUCCAAAAUUUCUUCAUUUUCAACAAAAAGGAGCAGAGCUGCUGCUACUCACAACCAGUCUGAACGAGAUCCGGUGAGCUCUACGAUCCUGAGAUCGAGAAUGUAGAAGAUCCACCAUUGAAGCCAAUGGUAAUUUGUGAGACAGAAACAAGGAUGGAAAAGAGGUCUUGAAUAUUUGAAGCAAUAGGAAACAGGGGAAUCAAACAAGGAUUGCUUUUAAAGGGGAUGCGAGAGAAAUCUCGACCCUUCAGAUCUGUCAUAUUCUCCAAAUAAGACUACUUGGAAGGGCAAAGAAGCAUUCACUACCAGUCAGUUACAAGCUGAUGUGAAGAAGAAGAGAGUGAAGCAACUGACAAUGAAGGGAAAAUGGCCCGUGGCUACUACUAUAUUUUUGAAUUUGCAAACUUUAAAUAUUAGAUUCCAAGGAUCGGUUGUAGAUUUGUGCCUAAGUAGCUUUUGGUUCAUUGUAAUGGUUUAUGACAACUUUUGAUGAAUCUUAUUAGGCCUUAUGUAAUGGAUUUAUCAACUUUUGUAUCAUUUAGUAAUAAAAAGAACAUGUUUGAAACAUUCAAAAA